RNAcentral lists this ribosomal RNA (513 nucleotides) under uncultured bacterium. Its description in RNAcentral is "bacterial SSU rRNA". It matches the Rfam family "Bacterial small subunit ribosomal RNA", at positions 9 to 517 of the family's 1533-position model. The record is from RNAcentral.
GAGUUUGAUCGUGGCUCAGAUUGAACGCUGGCGGCAGGCCUAACACAUGCAAGUCGAGCGGUAGAGAGAAGCUUGCUUCUCUUGAGAGCGGCGGACGGGUGAGUAAUGCCUAGGAAUCUGCCUGGUAGUGGGGGAUAACGCUCGGAAACGGACGCUAAUACCGCAUACGUCCUACGGGAGAAAGCAGGGGACCUUCGGGCCUUGCGCUAUCAGAUGAGCCUAGGUCGGAUUAGCUAGUUGGUGAGGUAAUGGCUCACCAAGGCGACGAUCCGUAACUGGUCUGAGAGGAUGAUCAGUCACACUGGAACUGAGACACGGUCCAGACUCCUACGGGAGGCAGCAGUGGGGAAUAUUGGACAAUGGGCGAAAGCCUGAUCCAGCCAUGCCGCGUGUGUGAAGAAGGUCUUCGGAUUGUAAAGCACUUUAAGUUGGGAGGAAGGGCAGUAAAUUAAUACCUUGCUGUUUUGACGUUACCGACAGAAUAAGCACCGGCUAACUCUGUGCCAGCCGCCG